GACGAACGCUGGCGGCGUGCUUAACACAUGCAAGUCGAACGCUGAAGCUCAGCUUUUGUUGGGUGGAUGAGUGGCGAACGGGUGAGUAACACGUGAGUAACCUGCCUCCUUCUUUGGGAUAACGCCCGGAAACGGGUGCUAAUACUGGAUAUUCACUGGUCUUCGCCUGGGGGUUGGUGGAAAGGGUUUUUCUGGUGGGGGAUGGGCUAGCGGCCUAUCGGCUUGUUGGUGGGGUGAUGGCGUAACAAGGCUUUGACGGGUAGCCGGCCUGAGAGGGUGACCUGGAACAGUGGGACGGAGAUGCGGCCCAGAGGCCUACGGGGGGCAGCAGUGGGGAAUAUGGCACAAUGGGCGCAAGCCUGAUGCAGCGUCGCCGCGUGAGGGAUGGAGGCCGUCGGGUUGUGAAACUCGUUCGCUCAUGGUCAAGCCGCAACAAUGGUUGUGGUGAGGGUAGUUGGUAAAGAAGCGCCGGCUAACUACGUG
This 483-nucleotide ribosomal RNA is filed under the name uncultured bacterium. RNAcentral's name for it is "partial 16S ribosomal RNA". It matches the Rfam family "Bacterial small subunit ribosomal RNA", at positions 28 to 507 of the family's 1533-position model. The record is from RNAcentral.